Molecule: long non-coding RNA, 1228 nt
Organism: Rhipicephalus sanguineus (brown dog tick)
Lineage: Eukaryota; Metazoa; Arthropoda; Arachnida; Ixodida; Ixodidae
Exons: 4
Source: RefSeq, a predicted model, not a curated record
GAUGUUCUGAAUGAAUGCAAUUAAAAAACUAAGGCAGCUUCACACUAGGGGUGCCUAGCAGGGAUGCAGAACUAUAGAUGUACUCAAUGAAUUCGGAGCCCUCAGACGAACACACUGAAGCGCACAAUGAAGGAGAUCCCAGCAGCUUUUGCGGUUUGGCUGCUAUGUGCGACUAUGGCACAAGGUCGGUAUUACUUUGACACAGAUGUCAAUGAUUAUGUUGACGCGUCACUGGGGAAGCUCGCAAAAACUAUCGAAGAGAAGACAACAAAAAAUUCCGUCAUAAUUAAAGAUUUUGUGCGACCUUCCAAUGACUCAGGCCGUACAAUCGUUGUACCACAAAUUUCUCUUGGGGUCGUGAGAGGACUACAUACUCUGCAAAGAGCCCGGGACUGCAAGAUUACGGAGAAAACCAUGCGCUACAAUGUACGAUGCCCUGUUAAGUUUCUGGAUCUUGAGUGUGUGCUUCCAAGACUGAACAAGAUAAAAUAUACCUUAAAAGUGGAAGUGGACGGAAUACUCUCCUUCAGUCUUUACAAGGGUCCUGAAGGGAAUGUCCAACGAAUAUUACUAAUUAUAAAAAAAUUUACAUUUUCACUCGACCAAGAGCUCUAUUCUCCAAACGGGGAUGCCGUCGCCACGUUUCCAACAGUGCCUAGUGCUUACGAUCUUGAUGGGACAAAUAUUGGAGGACCGUACAGCGAAGCCUUGCGGUACUAUUUAACACAAAAAUUAUUAAUUACUUCUGUAAAGAAAGCCCUCACUGAAACAUUUCCCAGAAUUAAGAACAAAAUUAAAUGAGUACGCCGCCGGGGCAAUACUGUACAUGAAUGUCUUAUUAUAAAUACUUGCCACGGAAAUUUUUGUGACGACGGCCGACCGAAUAAACUUCGUAGAACUGAAAGACGACUCCUGCGCGAUUCAACACUUGCGUCGCCGAAAAAAAUGGACAAAACUUGUAGAAUUGUUCAAAGAACGAGGAAGUGUUACUGAUAGUUGCCGUGUUGUUGGACCAUAAAUCAAUAUGCAUAAACAGCCAGGGCGGUCAUUCGUGAUAUUUAGAGCGAGAGCUAAAAACAUCAAAAAGCGUAAAGUGUCAGAAUCCAGCAGUAAUAAGUUAACACGCAGAAGUAAACGCCUUCACGAAGUGUUCUCACAAGAUUUGGCUAUAGCUUGGGCAAAAAAUCACAGGGUCAUUCAGCCUGUAAACAUGCUCGAUGAUUGGAAG